Molecule: long non-coding RNA, 222 nt
Organism: Zingiber officinale
Lineage: Eukaryota; Viridiplantae; Streptophyta; Magnoliopsida; Zingiberales; Zingiberaceae
Exons: 2
Source: RefSeq, a predicted model, not a curated record
AGGGAAAGGUAUCAGAUCAAUUGUGCUGGAUUUUUCUUGAUUAGAUCUUGGAUCUCUUCCUUGUUGCUAACUGAGGUCCCGGUUGAAGUGAGGGGAGGUGAGGUUCCAUUCUUGCUGUGGAAUUGUGUUUGGUUCCGGCAGUAACAAUCACCUCAAUCCAGCAUCAACAGUAGGUUCGAUCUGCUCUGUUCUAUUUGUGAACUUUCUGAUUUCGGCAGUAAA